UACGUAGGGUGCAAGCGUUAAUCGGAAUUACUGGGCGUAAAGCGUGCGCAGGCGGUUCGGAAAGAAAGAUGUGAAAUCCCAGAGCUUAACUUUGGAACUGCAUUUUUAACUACCGGGCUAGAGUGUGUCAGAGGGAGGUGGAAUUCCGCGUGUAGCAGUGAAAUGCGUAGAUAUGCGGAGGAACACCGAUGGCGAAGGCAAUCCCCUGGGCCUGUACUGACGCUCCAUGCACGAAAGCGUGGGGAGCAAACAGG
Molecule: ribosomal RNA, 254 nt
Filed under: uncultured bacterium
Lineage: Bacteria
Description: partial 16S ribosomal RNA
Rfam family: Bacterial small subunit ribosomal RNA
Source: RNAcentral